CGCGUUCCAUCUCAGUAUAGCCACGUUCGGUUGAGCUCGGAGUAGCCGUGGUGGCAGCGGCAGCGGCAGCGGCAGCGGGGGAAGGAGCUGGGGCAGGAGCGGUUCCAGGGUGAUGGGGUCCAGGCCGGGGCUGAGGCUUUGACAGCUGGAGCCGGAGUGAGCGAGCGGGGAGGCAGCCAAAGCCGGGGCGGGCCACAGCGAGGGGAGCGGGGCUGGGAGACUAAGCGGCAUCGAAGAGACCCAGGCAGCGGCUGCAGAGCCAGUGGCGGCUUCGCCUCCUCCUUACUGCGGACCAUGUUCGCCAAAGGCAAAGGCUCGGCGGUGCCCUCGGACGGGCAGGCUCGAGAAAAGUUAGCUUUAUACGUCUAUGAAUAUUUGCUGCAUGUAGGAGCGCAGAAAUCAGCACAGACCUUUUUAUCAGAGAUCCGAUGGGAAAAAAAUAUCACACUAGGAGAGCCUCCUGGGUUUCUACAUUCAUGGUGGUGCGUAUUUUGGGACCUUUACUGUGCAGCUCCUGAAAGGCGAGAUACUUGUGAACAUUCAAGUGAAGCAAAAGCCUUUCAUGAUUACCUCUGCCACUUCUGCUGUUGGGUGCUGGCUGUGUGCAGUGUUGCUUCAACCCACGCAGUUCAUUCGUGCCAUCCUGCUGACAUACGCUUCUGCCUGAGCGCAGCUGCAGCACCAAGUCCAGUACUAGGAAACAUUCCUCCUAAUGAUGGAAUGCCAGGCGGUCCCAUCCCUCCAGGUUUCUUUCAGGGACCACCUGGUUCUCAGCCCUCGCCACACGCACAGCCUCCACCUCACAAUCCUAACAGCAUGAUGGGACCCCACAGUCAGCCUUUUAUGUCACCGCGAUAUGCAGGAGGUCCCCGGCCCCCCAUCAGAAUGGGAAACCAGCCUCCAGGGGCUGUUCCUGGUACGCAGCCACUGCUGCCCAAUUCAAUGGACCCUACACGACAACAAGGGCACCCUAACAUGGGAGGACCAAUGCAAAGGAUGAAUCCUCCACGAGGGAUGGGCCCCAUGGGUCCUGGUCCGCAGACUGAUCCUUGGUUAUCAUUGCAGAACUAUGGCGGCGGAAUGAGACCUCCACCCAACUCUUUAGGCCCCGGCAUGCCUGGAAUUAACAUGGGCCCAGGAGCUGCUAGACCAUGGCCUAAUCCCAGCAGUGCUAAUUCAAUUCCAUAUUCCUCUUCAUCGCCUGGUACAUACGUGGGGCCCCCUGGUGGUGGAGGUCCUCCAGGAACACCGAUCAUGCCUAGUCCUGCAGAUUCAACCAAUUCAAGUGACAACAUCUACACAAUGAUUAAUCCAGUACCGCCUGGAGGCAGUCGAUCGAAUUUCCCAAUGGGGCCUGGUUCUGACGGCCCAAUGGGAGGCAUGGGAGGUAUGGAACCACAUCACAUGAAUGGAUCGUUAGGGUCAGGUGACAUAGAUGGACUUCCAAAAGUAAAAUUCUCCAAACAACAUAAGUGGCAUUAGCAACCCCCCGGGCACUCCUAGAGAUGAUGGUGAACUGGGAGGUAACUUCCUCCAUUCCUUCCAAAAUGACAACUAUUCCCCCAGCAUGACGAUGAGUGUGUGAUUUCCCUCCCCCUUCCUCCUCUCCAGGAUAAAGAGAGUCAGCUGCCAUUCGGAGGAUCUAAAAGAGAUUAUGCAAGAAGAAGCUAGGUGUAUUAUUGGCAGAGAGACGCAAGGGGGGCAAACCCCAGUUUUAGUUUCAUGCAAUAAAAAGGCUGAACUUUUUAUUCCAUAAAACAUGAAGGACAAAACUUAAAAUAUGUCAAGACGUGACAAGAUCCUUCUUGUGGUGAAGGAUUUAUAUAUGUACAUGACUUUUUUUUUUUUUUUUUGGAAACAAAUGGAAGCCUCCAGUACCCAACUCCAACCUCUUUGCUUUGUUCUUUUAAGCCUGUUGUAUGUUUGUUUGUGCUGUGCUACACCAGGAAGCUAGUCUAGAUCUGAAAUCUCAUGUUGUCCCUGUUGUAGUCCUAUUUUUUUUUAAAUAAACUGGACAGUUUACAAUUGGUGGUUUUUCUUUGGAAGGCCUGUUUUUGUUUUUGUUUUUCUUGUUUGCAGCACAACGCCUCCUCCUCCAGAAGAGACUCCUCCACCUCAUAGAAAGUUGUUAAUGCAGUUGGCCCCCUCAUAGGAUCACAUCCUCAAGAAUUCAUUGUGAUCUUACUAUCUAUGACCGUGGCAUGCACUGUAUUAGCCUUUUUUUCCCCCUCUCAGAAUACAAGGAGAGUUCAGUGCUUCCCCCUGCAAGAAUCCUUGACCUAUUUCCCCCUCCCCCCAAAAGAGAGAGAGAGAGAGAGAGGGUUAAUCUGACCUGGGAUUUUGUAACUGUGAUCUCAAGCUAACAUCUUUUGUUGAUUUUUUUUGGUUUUGUAUUUUUUUAAAAAAGAUGUGAUCUUAUCAGGGUUUCGCUGUAUGUGUUUUGGAACUGGAUGGAGAUACUUUAAAGUAGUUGUUCAAAUGUAUACUUGCUAUUCUGUAGGCUCACUCUGUAACAAAAAAAUAAAAACAAAAAUGAGAAAAUUACCUUUCUUGUGGUAGAGGUGACUACAGAAAAGUAACAAACCAACCGUGUUAAAGUGACACUCGCCAGAGUCUGGGGAUCCUGUACAUUACACUACCCUGUAGUUGGUCUUUGUUUUAUAAAUCUCCACUUCUGAUCCAUGUAUAUCAUAUUAUGUAAAAUACUAUCUCCCUGGAUUUCCCUUUGUGCCGAUUAUUGAGAACAUUGUAUCUUGUUUCAGUGUUUUUUCUUACCUUGUAGUCUGGUUCUAAAAUAAGAGGGAAAAAAAGUAAUUAUUAUACAUUGUAGUUUGUGUAUGAUAUUUGUUGAAAAUGUUUUAUUAAAGGGAUGUCUUUUUUUCCGCACCCCUUCAUUGAGAUGUUUUUUGGGAACAUUGGCUGGUUUUUAUUAUUCUGACUGCAAGACAUGAGAUGACAAACUUUUUUUAGUGUGUAAUAUGAAUUUUUUUAAAUGUUUUGCCUUCUUUUUCCUAGGCAUUUUAAUUGUGCUUUACCUGUAGAAGGUGGGUGGGGUUGAGGAUGGGGCUGGGGGUGGAAAAAGGGUUCAGUCUCAUAGUUACAGUCAGGUUAAUAUUUAAAAAUAAAAAAAAAAAUCAAAUGAAGAUUUGUUGUAUUGCUGAAAAUCCGUGGUCUCCAGAAUGGGUCAUCUUUUUUUUGUUUUGUUUUUGUUUUUUGAAGUGAGAAAUGACAGACCGGUUUUAAUGUAUUUUAAAAUGAAUAGCUAAAUUAUUGUCUUCAUUGGUAUGGGAUGGUUUUUGAAUGAAACAGUUCUUUUUUCCCUCCUCCAUGCUGUAAUAAAUAUAAACAUAAACAUUUGA
Non-coding RNA from Chelonoidis abingdonii (Abingdon island giant tortoise), 3359 nucleotides. The record is from RefSeq and is a predicted model, not a curated record. Lineage: Eukaryota; Metazoa; Chordata; Testudines; Testudinidae.